RNAcentral lists this long non-coding RNA (1813 nucleotides) under Equus caballus (horse). RNAcentral describes it as "lncRNA (ENSECAG00000047217.1)". Lineage: Eukaryota; Metazoa; Chordata; Mammalia; Perissodactyla; Equidae. The record is from RNAcentral.
AUCCAGAAACUCACUGUCUUCCUUUUCAACCUGAAAAAAAAUCAGAGCCUGCAGAAGUGAAGCAUUCGUCUUAAAGUAUGCUUUAUAUUUUUUGCCAAUGUUUUGAGGAUAUCUUGUGAAGCCUUUUGAAAACACUCUGGGAGAAUGUUGCCAACAGACUUAGAAACCUAGGAGGAAAAAAAUAAUCAUCCAAAAUACUUUCUGUUCAUGAAGAUAUGUAACUUAGCGGUCCCUUGUGAUCUGGUGAAGGUUGGACGUCUGUGAUGGUAUUUGGGGUGUAACCCAAGUGGCCUUUUUAGCAGACGAUUAGACUGAACACAAAAGCAAAGUUGUCAGCAGUAAACGCCCCUCUAAAUCAGUUCUAGGAUGAACUAAAAACAAUUAAAAAUAUGCUAGGGAGGGAGUUUUUUAAAUUCUGUUUAUCCUGAUGUAUUUGUCCCUCAACUGAAAAUAUUUCCACUUUCUGAACACAGUUUUCAAAGUAGAAAUACAAGCAACACAGUCAUGCUCCAUUCGUCUUGUAGUUUAGAUUCACAAAGCAUAGCUGGGACUUUACUCACUCCUACCCACCGUGCUGCAAUGGCCUCCAUGUUACAGAGGACAAGUAGAGACACAAGGAGGCUUCCCAGGCCACCUGGAGUCGCAGUCCCUACGUGGGAAUGGCUGCACAGACCGCUGGGCCUCCUGGCUCCCAGGCCAGUGCUGUUUAGUCUAUCUAGCUUAGGAUUUCAAAACAUUUACUUCAGCUUAACUCACUUUGCUCCCAUUAUGGUCCAUUUGUGUGUGUCAGUCUUUAUCUCUGGACCUGAGUCAAGCUUCACCCCUUCUCCCACCUCCUCCUGUUUCAGAGGGGGAAAAAAAAAAUCAAAGCCUGACUAUGGAACACAUGUGCUUCUCAUCUGGGCUAUUUGGAGGGAUCGGGGAAAUCAGAAGUGUCGUUGGCUCUUCUGUGGGGAUGUUUCAACAUGCCCUUACACCUGGGUCCCACUUGCGCUGCUACUGUCCCAGUCUGAGCCUACUGCCUUCCAAGUCAACCUUCCAUCUUGUGCCUUUAUUCCCACUUGCAUCUCUUUGGCUUCUCUGUAUUUUAGAGGUUUGCUUUACCGGUCCAUGAAAAAUCGACUUUGUCUCUAUUCAGGGUAGAUGUGGAGGGGUGCAGCAAGAGGGUAGCAGAUCCAUUUGCGCUAAGACCUGGACUCACCCGCCGCCUCUCCAACUGGACAGAGUGGGCAGCCGUGACUCAUGGCCAUGAACUCUGGGAAGAUGGCAGCCACCAGUGACAGGAGCCUCAUGGAGGAAAGGAAGAAGGUGCUAGACUCAAAGCCAGAAGAACUGAGUUCCAGCACCUGCUCUGGCCCUUACCAACUCUGUCGGCCGGGGCAGUUGGUCCACCUGUCUAAGGGUGAUGAUACUCCGCUAACACAGUGGGUUUUUUGAGAGAGUCUACUGAAAUCAUUGUGUAUAUGAAGCACUUUUAAAACUGUAAAGUGCCAUCCAAAUGAAAGACGGUAGUACCUCCCUCAGCCUCUGGUAACGUGUAUGUCUACUAAGUGUUAGGAGUGCAAGGACAUGCCCACCUUCCAGCUAAUUGGUGCGGAAAGGCCCUGGGCUUCCCCGCAUAACAAGCUGCAACUGCAUGACCCCAUACCGCCUUUAUUUCUUCUAAUUGCAGCUUUCUGCUUACGCUUCUCUUUACUUACCUGUCGCUGAUCACUGACCACCUUUUUGAAUGAAGAAUGUUCCAGAGUCUUGGCUGGCCCUAGAUGCCACCUUUCAUGUCACCUUGCUCUGCUGCCCCCCCACCCUCAUCCUG